This 301-nucleotide ribosomal RNA is filed under the name uncultured bacterium. RNAcentral describes it as "partial 16S ribosomal RNA". It matches the Rfam family "Bacterial small subunit ribosomal RNA", at positions 509 to 807 of the family's 1533-position model. The record is from RNAcentral.
CAGUAGCCGCGGUAAUACGAAGGGGGCUAGCGUUGUUCGGAAUUACUGGGCGUAAAGCGCACGUAGGCGGACAUUUAAGUCAGGGGUGAAAUCCCGGGGCUCAACCCCGGAACUGCCUUUGAUACUGGGUGUCUAGAGUAUUGAAGAGGUGAGUGGAAUUCCGAGUGUAGAGGUGAAAUUCGUAGAUAUUCGGAGGAACACCAGUGGCGAAGGCGGCUCACUGGUCCAUUACUGACGCUGAGGUGCGAAAGCGUGGGGAGCAAACAGGAUUAGAUACCCCUGUAGUCCCUGUCUCUUAUAC